GAAGGUGGCCUGUGAGGGUUGCUGGAGGUAUCAGAAGUGCGAAUGCUGACAUAAGUAACGAUAAAGCGGGUGAAAAGCCCGCUCGCCGGAAGACCAAGGGUUCCUGUCCAACGUUAAUCGGGGCAGGGUGAGUCGACCCCUAAGGCGAGGCCGAAAGGCGUAGUCGAUGGGAAACAGGUUAAUAUUCCUGUACUUGGUGUUACUGCGAAGGGGGGACGGAGAAGGCUAUGUUGGCCGGGCGACGGUUGUCCCGGUUUAAGCGUGUAGGCUGGUUUUCCAGGCAAAUCCGGUUCACUUUAAAACUGAGGCGUGAUGACGAGGCACUACGGUGCUGAAGCAACAAAUGCCCUGCUUCCAGGAAAAGCCUCUAAGCAUCAGGUAACAUCAAAUCGUACCCCAAACCGACACAGGUGGUCAGGUAGAGAAUACCAAGGCGCUUGAGAGAACUCGGGUGAAGGAACUAGGCAAAAUGGUGCCGUAACUUCGGGAGAAGGCACGCUGACACGUAGGUGAAGUGAUUUACUCAUGGAGCUGAAGUCAGUCGAAGAUACCAGCUGGCUGCAACUGUUUAUUAAAAACACAGCACUGUGCAAACACGAAAGUGGACGUAUACGGUGUGACGCCUGCCCGGUGCCGGAAGGUUAAUUGAUGGGGUCAGCGCAAGCGAAGCUCCUGAUCGAAGCCCCGGUAAACGGCGGCCGUAACUAUAACGGUCCUAAGGUAGCGAAAUUCCUUGUCGGGUAAGUUCCGACCUGCACGAAUGGCGUAAUGAUGGCCAGGCUGUCUCCACCCGAGACUCAGUGAAAUUGAACUCGCUGUGAAGAUGCAGUGUACCCGCGGCAAGACGGAAAGACCCCGUGAACCUUUACUAUAGCUUGACACUGAACAUUGAGCCUUGAUGUGUAGGAUAGGUGGGAGGCUUUGAAGUGUGGACGCCAGUCUGCAUGGAGCCGACCUUGAAAUACCACCCUUUAAUGUUUGAUGUUCUAACGUGGACCCGUGAUCCGGGUUGCGGACAGUGUCUGGUGGGUAGUUUGACUGGGGCGGUCUCCUCCUAAAGAGUAACGGAGGAGCACGAAGGUUGGCUAAUCCUGGUCGGACAUCAGGAGGUUAGUGCAAUGGCAUAAGCCAGCUUGACUGCGAGCGUGACGGCGCGAGCAGGUGCGAAAGCAGGUCAUAGUGAUCCGGUGGUUCUGAAUGGAAGGGCCAUCGCUCAACGGAUAAAAGGUACUCCGGGGAUAACAGGCUGAUACCGCCCAAGAGUUCAUAUCGACGGCGGUGUUUGGCACCUCGAUGUCGGCUCAUCACAUCCUGGGGCUGAAGUAGGUCCCAAGGGUAUGGCUGUUCGCCAUUUAAAGUGGUACGCGAGCUGGGUUUAGAACGUCGUGAGACAGUUCGGUCCCUAUCUGCCGUGGGCGCUGGAGAACUGAGGGGGGCUGCUCCUAGUACGAGAGGACCGGAGUGGACGCAUCACUGGUGUUCGGGUUGUCAUGCCAAUGGCACUGCCCGGUAGCUAAAUGCGGAAGAGAUAAGUGCUGAAAGCAUCUAAGCACGAAACUUGCCCCGAGAUGAGUUCUCCCUGAGACUUAGAGUCUCCUGAAGGAACGUUGAAGACGACGACGUUGAUAGGCCGGGUGUGUAAGCGCAGCGAUGCGUUGAGCUAACCGGUACUAAUGAACCGUGAGGCUUAACCUUACAACGCCGAAG
Molecule: ribosomal RNA, 1707 nt
Filed under: Salmonella enterica subsp. enterica serovar Anatum
Lineage: Bacteria; Pseudomonadati; Pseudomonadota; Gammaproteobacteria; Enterobacterales; Enterobacteriaceae
Description: partial 23S ribosomal RNA
Rfam family: Bacterial large subunit ribosomal RNA
Source: RNAcentral